UGAUGAUGCCAUGUCACCCUGCAGCCCAAGACCGGUUACUCACUGAAGCUAAGCAGGGCUGAGCCUGGUCAGUACCUGGAUGGGAGACCACUAGGGAACACUAGGUUGCUGUUGG
Molecule: ribosomal RNA, 115 nt
Filed under: Danio rerio (zebrafish)
Lineage: Eukaryota; Metazoa; Chordata; Actinopteri; Cypriniformes; Danionidae
Source: RNAcentral